RNAcentral lists this ribosomal RNA (482 nucleotides) under uncultured bacterium. RNAcentral's name for it is "partial 16S ribosomal RNA". It matches the Rfam family "Bacterial small subunit ribosomal RNA", at positions 30 to 507 of the family's 1533-position model. The record is from RNAcentral.
AUUGAACGCUGGCGGCAUGCCUUACACAUGCAAGUCGAACGGUAACGGGCCUUCGGGUGCCGACGAGUGGCGAACGGGUGAGUAAUACAUCGGAACGUGCCCGAUCGUGGGGGAUAACGAGGCGAAAGCUUUGCUAAUACCGCAUACGAUCUACGGAUGAAAGCCGGGGACCGCAAGGCCUUGCGCGGACGGAGCGGCCGAUGGCAGAUUAGGUAGUUGGUGGGAUAAAAGCUUACCAAGCCGACGAUCUGUAGCUGGUCUGAGAGGAUGAUCAGCCACACUGGGACUGAGACACGGCCCAGACUCCUACGGGAGGCAGCGGUGGGGAAUUUUGGACAAUGGGCGCAAGCCUGAUCCAGCCAUGCCGCGUGCAGGAUGAAGGCCUUCGGGUUGUAAACUGCUUUUGUACGGAACGAAAAGCCUUCUUUUAAUACAGGAGGGUCAUGACGGUACCGUAAGAAUAAGCACCGGCUAACUACGUG